GGGCCUGUGGGGGCGCAGAGGGCGGGGCUUCCUGCGGGGAGGGGAGGCCGGGCAGUGGGGGCGGCGGCGGUGGCGCUGCUCCGGGAGCCGGCUCUGCUGCAGGUGCGAGAUCUGAGCCAGCGAGGGCGCGGCGUGGGGGAGGCGCGAGUCAGCUCCUUGACUUGGGUGGGCCCCUCUCCGCCUCUCCGCUCUACGCAUGCGCUCCUACCUGAGCCGAGCCUACAAUCCAAACCUCCCUCGCCCAACUCUGCCCGCCACAGAUGCCCCUGGGCUCCCCUCCAGACCCUGCCCCGCAUCCCCGCCAGCCUGAAGCUCCUGCGCACCUGGGCUGGGGGAGCCGGUCGGCACCCCCGGAGUCGGAGCAUCACCGCCGCUCGGAGUUGCCACAGCGACGGGGAGGAUCUCGAUGGAGACAGCAUCCCCCGGCCCCCGCAGAAUACGGAUUAACCCCUUCUCCUCCAGCUCCUCCACCUUCAGCUCCAGGGCCGAGGGCCGCGUCGGGGCAGCGGGAGGCGCUUUCUCAGGCUCUGGGGGACGCCUGGAGGGCCCCAUGGCGGUCGAUUCGCUGAAGCGCUCCUACGAACCCCACGGGAGGGGUCAGUGCCCACCAGCAGGCUCCUUGGCACCAAGCCUCCAUCUUCUUCCCGGGGUGGAGGGAGAUGUCAAGCCUAGAAGCCUCAGCUGGCCUGUUCUUGGGCGCCUGGCCUACCACCCGCCCCAGCCUCACCCGCAGGGUCUCCAACUCCUUGCGCGCCUGGCUUAGCUGUUUUUCCAGUUCUGCAAUCUUGGCCAUGGAUUCGUUCUCCGCGUCCCGAAGCCGCUCUGUCAGCUGUAGCACCAGCACAUGUUCCUCCAUGUGCUCCAGCACAGCGUUCUUGGUCUCUGUGUCCUCCAGCAGCGCCCCCACAUCAAAAAUAUUGUCCAGGUACGCCUGGAUCUGCACCUGCAGCUUGUCACUCUCGAUGGCAAAACUGACACUGAGAGAGAGGAAGAGGCCUAUCCAAGGUCACACGGCAGGCAACGGCAGAGCCAGGAUUUAAACCCAGGUCUACCUGACCCCAGCACUCAUGCUGCUAACCACUCAGCCAUACUCUGCCGUGGGCAGGCAGUUCAGUCUGGGGGGCAGUACAGGGCUUACCUCCAAGUACAGGUCCAGGCCCAAGUGGGUGAACUCAUAUUGCAGGAAGACACGGAAGUUCAUGUUCUCCACCGAAUGUACCACAAUGUUGAUGAACUGCAUGCAGGCCACCUGGGAGCCAGGGACAUGGGGAGAUCUAUGAUCCUCUAGGUGGGGUUGCUCAAUGCCUUCCACCUCCACUUACCCCAAGCCUCCCUCCUUCUCCACAGUUCUCACUCCACUAACUCCCAGCCUUGGCCUGCCCAACAUUUCACCUCCAUGUUCCCUCAAUCCAGCCCCCUGCCAACAUCCACCCUUCCCCUACUGACCACUCAGUCCUUACGCUUUGCGGGGGCAGAGCCCAUUGCCCAGCACCCAGGACCCUAGCUGCUCCCUGCACCCAAGAGGGCCUGGCCCAGGCCUCAGGCUGCUGGGCUCCUGAGCUCACCAUGAAGUCGAUGUUGCUGUCCUCAUUCCGGAAAUAUUCCAUCAGCUUUUCAAAGCGGUGCUGCUCCCCACACACCUGGGUAAGGGGAAUGGCUCUCACUGAGGCCCAGUGACACACGUCCUAAGCUACCUUCUGGCUGCCACACCUGUGCUUCAACAGGCUCCUCUCCAGUUAAUUCUAAGUUGAGCCACGUCACUCUUCUGCUCAAAACCUCCACUCCCUCUCAAUCUCCCACUCUCCCUCACUUUUUCCACUCUGGCCACACUGGCAUCCUGGCACAUUCCCACCCCAGGGCCUUUGCACUUACUGUUCCAACUCCCUGGAGUGCCCUCACUCCCACACCAAGUCCCUUGCUUCCUUCACAGCUUUGCUGAAAUCUCACUUGCUCAGUGAGGCCUUCCCUGACCACCCUGCAACCAAUUCCCCCUCCCUCUGCAACAUUGCUGGCUUUUUUCUCACAGCAUUUAUCAUUUCCUAACAUACUAUGUAAUUUGCUUGUUUAUUAUAUCGUUUCUGUCUUUCCCUAUAUGGUUUCCUUUGUUCACUGAUGUGCCCAAGUGCCCUGUUCCUGACACAUAGUAGGCACUCAAUAAAUAUUCAUUAAAGGAAUGAAUGAAUGAAGAUAUCUUGUCUUAUGCAUCUUAUGCAGCCCCACACAUCUACUUCUUGCAAGCCUGUUAGCCAGAGUCCGCAACUCCUGGAGGUAUGAACCAAGGCUAGUUUGGAUCUGGCAAGGCUGAGUCAGAGGUUCAGCAGGUCCCUGUAGUUGUCCCUACCCCCACCCAGGUGGUGCCCUUACCUGACCCUGUACCUUCCAUUCAGAACUUCCCCAUCCCAGAUUGCUGAGCCAGUGAUGUGGCUCAACUUCAACUUUUGGGCGUUCCCCAAAUGCCCACCCAAUGUCCCCAGCUGCCUCCAGCAAAGGCCACAACUGCCAACAACAAGACUCCAAGCAACACCAUAGGGGGAAAUGCAUGUUUGGGUGAGGGACUCCGGUACCUCCUUGAAGUUGUCAAAGGCUGCAAGGAUGAUGUCAUGUCCUCCCCGCACCAAGCACACGGCCGCCAGCAGCUCCAGCACCAGAGCCUUGGUUCUGGAGAGAGAAGGGGCAGGUUGUCCCUUGAGAACAGGCAGGACCCGCGGCAAGGGUGGGCACAGGCCUGGCUAGGAGGAGCAUAGUGGGUGCAGAAUGAGCCUCUGAGACCUGGAGGACAGAGUAAGCAAGGGGCUAAGUAGGAGAAGACUCUAGAUACGGAGAAAGGUUUGGGGCCUGGACCUCACCUGGGGUUCUUGUUGUUGAGGCUCAGAGCAAUCUCAUUGACACAGGCUGGGUGGUUCAUGACAAGGCUGAAGCCAGACUGGGGAGAGAGGAGAGGUCAGUGUCUCCAGGAAGGGCCCCCCAGGACUUCAGGCACCCACGCCACGUGGAUCUUUAACUGCCCUCGAGUUUAGGAAGUUCUUUGUAUCCAACCGCAACUUCUGUGGCCACCAAAACCUGGCCUUGUUUCUAUUUUUUUUUUCAAGAUGGAGUUUCCCUCUGUCACCCAGGCUGGAGCGCAGUGGCGCCAUCUCAGCUCACCGCAGUCUCUGCCUCCCGGGUUCAAGUGAUUCUCCUGACUCAGCUUCCCAUG
RNAcentral lists this long non-coding RNA (3196 nucleotides) under Homo sapiens (human). RNAcentral describes it as "non-protein coding lnc-SPATA32-1:1". Lineage: Eukaryota; Metazoa; Chordata; Mammalia; Primates; Hominidae. The record is from RNAcentral.